UGCAUAUUAAUGAAGACAUCCCUGCUAUUAUAGAUUUUAAAAAACAGUUUUUUUCAAUAUAGUUCAUUCCCCUUUAUGUUAACAACAUUUAGAAAUCUAUUUCACUUUUUAACAUUUGACACACAUGUUCAUGUUUAUAUCUACCAUACAGAUUGCCUAAGGACUUUAUGUUGAUGAAAUCGUCCGGGAACAAUUGUGGCAUCAAAUGUGAAACUUCUCAACAGUCAGUAUCAUCCCACACAUCUAACACUGAUAAGUUUCUCUCAAAUGUUGUUCACGUCUCGCCAGAGGAGCUAACUGUUUUGUAUGAGCCAACUACUUGCCUUACCGUUGCGAGGACUGACAAGCUGCUUGCUGAUCCCAGCGGAUGGUACUAUAAAGCGUGUCAUAAAUGUCCCUAGGCUUCUAAGGGGGAUGUUCCACCUUAAUUUUGUAGGGAGGGUCACCGAACAUAGACUGAAUUAUGGAGGUUUAAAAUAAUGGUUGAAGUUGAACACAAUGGGAGCACUGGGAGGUUUGUUUUUUUGGAUCGUGAAGCUUCGGAUAUCCUAGAAACUAUUGCUGCACUACUUCAGUCGACCAUGAUAGAG
Vicia villosa (hairy vetch) is the source of this 590-nucleotide long non-coding RNA. RefSeq lists it as uncharacterized. The record is from RefSeq and is a predicted model, not a curated record. The transcript is spliced from 3 exons. NCBI's taxonomy places the organism in Eukaryota, Viridiplantae, Streptophyta, Magnoliopsida, Fabales, Fabaceae.